Molecule: ribosomal RNA, 273 nt
Filed under: uncultured bacterium
Lineage: Bacteria
Description: partial small subunit ribosomal RNA
Rfam family: Bacterial small subunit ribosomal RNA
Source: RNAcentral
AGAAUCAACGCUGGCGGCGUGCCUCAGACAUGCAAGUCGAACGCGAAAGUUUCCUUCGGGAGAUGAGUAGAGUGGCGCACGGGUGAGUAACACGUAGGUAAUCUACCUUUGGAUGGGGAAUAACAACCGGAAACGGUUGCUAAUACCGCAUAAUGCAGCGGCACCUAAUGGUGACAGUUGUUAAAGCGGGGGAUCGAAAGACCUCGCGUCUAAAGAGGAGCCUGCGGCGGAUUAGCUAGUUGGUAGGGUAAUGGCUUACCAAGGCCACGAUCC